RNAcentral lists this transfer RNA (75 nucleotides) under Chloroflexota bacterium. Its description in RNAcentral is "Chloroflexi bacterium (hot springs metagenome) tRNA-Asn". It matches the Rfam family "tRNA". Rfam says of the family: Transfer RNA (tRNA) molecules are approximately 80 nucleotides in length. Their secondary structure includes four short double-helical elements and three loops (D, anti-codon, and T loops). Further hydrogen bonds mediate the characteristic L-shaped molecular structure. tRNAs have two regions of fundamental functional importance: the anti-codon, which is responsible for specific mRNA codon recognition, and the 3' end, to which the tRNAs corresponding amino acid is attached (by aminoacyl-tRNA synthetases). tRNAs cope with the degeneracy of the genetic code in two manners: having more than one tRNA (with a specific anti-codon) for a particular amino acid; and 'wobble' base-pairing, i.e. permitting non-standard base-pairing at the 3rd anti-codon position. Lineage: Bacteria; Bacillati; Chloroflexota. The record is from RNAcentral. RNAcentral also lists the same sequence under 1 other name.
UCCCCGGUAGCUCAAUGGUAGAGUGGGCGGCUGUUAACCGCUUGGUUGCAGGUUCGAGUCCUGCCCGGGGAGCCA